This 500-nucleotide ribosomal RNA is filed under the name uncultured bacterium. RNAcentral describes it as "partial 16S ribosomal RNA". It matches the Rfam family "Bacterial small subunit ribosomal RNA", at positions 30 to 523 of the family's 1533-position model. The record is from RNAcentral.
AUUGAACGCUGGCGGAAUGCUUUACACAUGCAAGUCGAACGGCAGCACGGGGGCAACCCUGGUGGCGAGUGGCGAACGGGUGAGUAAUACAUCGGAACGUGCCCAGUCGUGGGGGAUAACGUAGCGAAAGUUACGCUAAUACCGCAUACGAUCUACGGAUGAAAGCGGGGGACCGUAAGGCCUCGCGCGAUUGGAGCGGCCGAUGUCAGAUUAGGUAGUUGGUGAGGUGAAGGCUCACCAAGCCGACGAUCUGUAGCUGGUCUGAGAGGACGACCAGCCACACUGGGACUGAGACACGGCCCAGACUCCUACGGGAGGCAGCAGUGGGGAAUUUUGGACAAUGGGCGCAAGCCUGAUCCAGCCAUUCCGCGUGCAGGACGAAGGCCUUCGGGUCGUAAACUGCUUUUGUACGGAACGAAAAGGCUCUGGUUAAUACCUGGGGCUCAUGACGGUACCGUAAGAAUAAGCACCGGCUAACUACGUGCCAGCCGCCGCAGUAA